This 311-nucleotide ribosomal RNA is filed under the name uncultured bacterium. Its description in RNAcentral is "bacterial SSU rRNA". It matches the Rfam family "Bacterial small subunit ribosomal RNA", at positions 30 to 334 of the family's 1533-position model. The record is from RNAcentral.
AUUGAACGCUGGCGGCAUGCUUUACACAUGCAAGUCGAACGGCAGCACAGGGAGCUUGCUCCCGGGUGGCGAGUGGCGCACGGGUGAGUAAUACAUCGGAACGUGUCCUGUUGUGGGGGAUAACUGCUCGAAAGGGUGGCUAAUACCGCAUAAUGCAUUGGAUUCGCAUGUUUCUGAUGCCAAAGAUUUUAUCGCUGAAAGAUGAGCUCGCGUCUGAUUAGCUAGUUGGCGGGGUAACGGCCCACCAAGGCGACGAUCAGUAGCCGGACUGAGAGGUUGAACGGCCACAUUGGGACUGAGACACGGCCCAG